Molecule: ribosomal RNA, 1298 nt
Filed under: Ophiocordyceps sp. JL-2011
Lineage: Eukaryota; Fungi; Ascomycota; Sordariomycetes; Hypocreales; Ophiocordycipitaceae
Description: partial 18S ribosomal RNA
Rfam family: Eukaryotic small subunit ribosomal RNA
Source: RNAcentral
AUCGUUUAUUUGAUAGUACCUUACUACUUGGAUAACCGUGGUAAUUCUAGAGCUAAUACAUGCUGAAAAUCCCGACUUCGGAAGGGAUGUAUUUAUUAGAUUCAAAACCAAUGCCCUCUGGGCUCACUGGUGAUUCAUGAUAACUCUUCGAAUCGCAUGGCCUUGCGCCGGCGAUGGUUCAUUCAAAUUUCUUCCCUAUCAACUUUCGAUGUUUGGGUAGUGGCCAAACAUGGUUGCAACGGGUAACGGANGGUUAGGGCUCGACCCCGGANAAGGAGCCUGANAAACGGCUACUACAUCCNAGGNANGCAGCAGGNGCGCAAAUUACCCNAUCCCGACNCGGGGNNNGUAGUGACAAUAAAUACUGAUACAGGGCUNUUUNNGGUCUNGUAAUUGGAAUGAGUACAANUUAAAUCCNNUAACGAGGAACAAUUGGAGGGNNNGUCUGGUGAACGUUGCUGGUGCCANAAAGAGCCGCCCCUCCCGANGAAAGCGGCUAGUNNNAGCGCCCGUUGCGUGACGGGUGGGCGCCGGCGAGACANCCNGNNUCGGGGAAGGNUAAGGGCCGCAGGCCUAUGNUGAUCCCGAGCGGAGCCGAGAGNCCCGUGUAGAGCGCGCCAAGNUGUNGNUCCNGGGNUCACUCCCGGGGCUUAAGNUACGUGCCAAUCCCCCGCGAAAGCGGGGCCCCCCGACUGAGCACCCGUCGUGCGAGNUCUCGGGGAAGCCACAGGCGGCCCCGGCNNCUGUGGCUGCAAGCCCCGUGGCGGCCUCGCCGCCGCGGGCGCCCAUACAUGGCCAGCAGCCGCGGUAAUUCCAGCUCCAAUAGCGUAUAUUAAAGUUGUUGUGGUUAAAAAGCUCGUAGUUGAACCUUGGGCCUGGCUGGCCGGUCCGCCUCACCGCGUGUACUGGUCCGGCCGGGCCUUUCCCUCUGUGGAACCCCAUGCCCUUCACUGGGUGUGGCGGGGAAACAGGACGUUUACUUUGAAAAAAUUAGAGUGCUCCAGGCAGGCCUAUGCUCGAAUACAUUAGCAUGGAAUAAUGAAAUAGGACGCGCGGUUCUAUUUUGUUGGUUUCUAGGACCGCCGUAAUGAUUAAUAGGGACAGUCGGGGGCAUCAGUAUUCAAUUGUCAGAGGUGAAAUUCUUGGAUUUAUUGAAGACUAACUACUGCGAAAGCAUUUGCCAAGGAUGUUUUCAUUAAUCAGGAACGAAAGUUAGGGGAUCGAAGACGAUCAGAUACCGUCGUAGUCUUAACCAUAAACUAUGCCGACUAGGGAUCGGACGAUGUUAUUUUUUGACU